RNAcentral lists this ribosomal RNA (334 nucleotides) under Faxonella clypeata. Its description in RNAcentral is "partial 16S ribosomal RNA". The record is from RNAcentral. Lineage: Eukaryota; Metazoa; Arthropoda; Malacostraca; Decapoda; Cambaridae.
AUUAGUUUUUUAAUUGAAGGCUAGAAUGAAUGGUUGGACAAGAAAUAAUCUGUCUUAAUUAAAUAAAUUGAAUUUAACUUUUAAGUGAAAAGGCUUAAAUAAUCUAAAGGGACGAUAAGACCCUAUAAAACUUUAUAUUUAAUAAUAGUAAUUAAUUUUAUUUUAAGAGUAUUAUUUAAAAAUAUUUGGUUGGGGUGACAAGGAUAAAAUAUAAAAUAACUGUCUUUUUUUAUUACAAUAAUAUUUGGUUUAAUGAUCCUGAAAUGGAUUAAAGAUUAAGUUACUUUAGGGAUAACAGCGUAAUUUUCUUUAAGAGUUCUGAUCGACAAGAAAG